ANUAGAUACCCUGGUAGUCCACGCCNUNNNCGAUGUCUACUAGUUGUUGGGUCUUAAUUGACUUAGUAACGCAGCUAACGCGUGAAGUAGACCGCCUGGGGAGUACGGUCGCAAGAUUAGAACUCAAAGGAAUUGACGGGGACCCGCACAAGCGGUGGAUGAUGUGGAGUAAUUCGAUGCAACGCGAAAAACCUUACCUACCCUUGACAUGUACAGAAUGCCGAAGAGAUUUGGUGGUGCUCGCAAGAGAACUGUAACACGGGUGCUGCAUGGCUGUCGUCAGCUCGUGUCGUGAGAUGUUGGGUUAAGUCCCGCAACGAGCGCAACCCUUGUCAUUAGUUGCUACAUUCAGUUGAGCACUCUAAUGAGACUGCCGGUGACAAACCGGAGGAAGGUGGGGAUGACGUCAAGUCCUCAUGGCCCUUAUGGGUAGGGCUUCACACGUCAUACAAUGGUACAUACAGAGGGCCGCCAACCCGCGAGGGGGAGCUAAUCCCAGAAAGUGUAUCGUAGUCCGGAUUGUAGUCUGCAACUCGACUACAUGAAGUUGGAAUCGCUAGUAAUCGCGGAUCAGCAUGUCGCGGUGAAUACGUUCCCGGGUCUUGUACACACCGCCCGUCACACCAUGGGAGCGGGUUUCGCCAGAAGUAGGUAGCUUAACCGCAAGGAGGGCGCUUACCACGGCGGGAUUCGUGACUGGGGUGAAGUCGUAACAAGGUAACCAAGGGCGAA
This 732-nucleotide ribosomal RNA is filed under the name uncultured bacterium. Its description in RNAcentral is "bacterial SSU rRNA". It matches the Rfam family "Bacterial small subunit ribosomal RNA", at positions 777 to 1510 of the family's 1533-position model. The record is from RNAcentral.